Molecule: ribosomal RNA, 676 nt
Filed under: uncultured bacterium
Lineage: Bacteria
Description: bacterial SSU rRNA
Rfam family: Bacterial small subunit ribosomal RNA
Source: RNAcentral
ACUGGGUAGGGGACUGGACAUGGGUUCCCUGCCGCAGCGAAAGUGGUAAGUACCCCGCCUGGGGAGUAUGGUCGCAAGGCUGAAACUCAAAGGAAUUGACGGGGGCUCACACAAGCGGUGGAGCAUGUGGCUUAAUUCGAGGCUACGCGAAGAACCUUAUCCUAGGCUUGACAUGUGCGAAAGCGGUGGGGAGUAGGGAGCGGAAACGUUUCCCCAACGGUAUCCAGUCCGGAACCCACUACAGGUGCUGCAUGGCUGCCGUCAGCUCGUGUCGUGAGAUGUUGGGUUAAGUCCCGUAACGAGCGAAACCCUUGUCUCCAGUUGCCAGCGGGUCAUGCCGGGGACUCUGGAGAGACUGCCGGUGUUAAACCGGAGGAAGGCGGGGAUGACGUCAAGUCCUCAUGGCCUUUAUGCCUAGGGCUGCACACGUGCUACAAUGGCGUGAACAAAGGGACGCAAACCCGCGAGGGGGAGCCAAUCCCAAAAAACACGCCCCAGUUCAGAUCGAAGGCUGCAACUCGCCUUCGUGAAGUCGGAAUCGCUAGUAAUCGCGGGUCAGCAACACCGCGGUGAAUGUGUUCCUGAGCCUUGUACACACCGCCCGUCAAGCCACGAAAGAUCGGGGCGUCCGAAGUCGCUGUGCCAACCGCAAGGGGGCAGGCGCCGAAGACAAACG